Long non-coding RNA from Salvelinus fontinalis (brook trout), 2995 nucleotides. RefSeq lists it as uncharacterized. The record is from RefSeq and is a predicted model, not a curated record. The transcript has 5 exons. NCBI's taxonomy places the organism in Eukaryota, Metazoa, Chordata, Actinopteri, Salmoniformes, Salmonidae.
CACAAACACGGAACUAAUGUGAAUUUUGGUGCUGCUCGAAUUAGCUACGUUAUAUGUAGUUAGUUUUAGUUUAGUUUAAGUAAUGGAAAAGAUUCGUGCACGCUUAAAUAUUGGAAACAAAGCAGAGCCUGUUAAAAUGAGGAAACGAAAAUCCCAACUAUAUAGUGAAGAAGAAACAUGUCCUCUUGAUAAUGGUGUAUUGGGGGUCCAUGUCAGUGUCUUCACUGUGGCAUUUCGUCUCAUCAACUGCUUCCUGGUCCAGACCAGCUUUGUCCCGGAUGAGUACUGGCAGUCCCUCGAAAUCGCACAUCUUAUGGUUUUUGAAUAUUCUUGCAACAAUAUUCUUGAGUUUAAGCAGUACCCUUCUAAUAACCUUUUUGUGGACAAUAGGCUGUGUAUUCUGCUAAAUCCUUAAUAACUUCACCUGUAGCUAUUUGACGUGGGAGUGGACAGCAGAUAUAAGAGGGUUCUCCUACCCUCUCUUCUUUGCAGCUAUAUAUAAGAUAUUGCACUUCUUCACCUAUGACGCAGUUCAACUCUUGUACCUCUGCCAGCUCUGUUCUUGGUUCACAUGGCACUGCUGCACUCGGACCGUGACCAACACCAUGGAGACCACACUCACAACUCUGGCUCUCUAUUACUAUCCUCUGCCUGGCUUUAAAACACACAACAGGUUGGACUUACACCGAUACACAACUCGAACAUAAAACCAUUUCACUUACUGUGCAUCUAAGUAUUUCCCAUUACACGGAAAGUUACAAAAUACCUUUACAAAAGUUAUACCUUUUAAUAACGCUCCAUUAAUAACAUUCUGUUUAAAACAGAGUUUGCUUGUUUUCUUUCGCACACAAAAUAUUUGAUCCUGGUUGCCUUGGCAGUCAUUGUUCGUCCGACAGCCUUGCUUGUGUGGCCUCUGUUGGUGUACCACUUCUGGCAGGAAGAUAAGAAGCUGAAACUCAUAACUCACCUUUGCCUUCCCAUUGGGUGAGUGCUUUGAUUUGAGAAAGACCAUUGUGCCUCAGCUGCAGAGUGAGGUUUUGACUGCAUGUUCUAUGGAAAGGUAGGAAAAGCAUUGUUUAAAAAAUAAUAAAGUAAAGGUAAUUAUAAAUCACAAGCUGUAAUGUUUGUGUUAAUUAACACAAGUGCAUUAAAACCAUUUUCUCUAGCAGUGGACCCUGGUGCAGUACAACUUCCUUAAGUUUAAUGUUUUUCACAACGCGGCUGAGUUCUAUGGCUCUCAUCCAUGGCACUGGUACUUUACUCAGGGUUUUGUGGUCGUCAUUGGCCCUCAUCUUCCUUUCUUCCUGUAUGGAUGCACACUGGCUUCAAAAAGAUACAGAAUCAUGUUAAUAACAAUAGUCUGGACAGUAAUGGUUUACAGUUGUCUUGCGCACAAGGAGUUCAGAUUCAUCUACCCUGUUUUGCCUUUCUGCAUGGUAUUUUGUGAGUGCUACAAUUUCCUGAAAGAUUCCAAUGACUGCAAGUAACCAAACUAGCAACAUACAGUCAUACCCUAUGCACGACAUGGGGUCCUCGUUUAUUGCAGGGAUAGCUUUGGUGAAUCUGAGAACCUGGAGACGGCCUACCGCAUGUGCCUUAUUGGUCUCCAACCUAGUCCCAGCCCUGUACACAGUUCUGCUUCACCAGCGAGGCACACUGGUUGUCAUGGGUCUCCUCCAGACCCUGUGUGACAACAGCGAUCCUUCAACCCCGCCACUGCCUGAAGUCCUCUUUCUAAUGCCCUGUCACUCUACACCUUUCUACAGAUCUCACAGGAGACAAGAGCUAUGUCGAUGAAGCUGAGAGAUUCUUCGCUGAUCCUCAUCAUUGGUUGACCUCAUUUCCUUAUACAUCAAUGCUGCCAACCCACCUGGUGUUCUUUGAUGUUCUGAAGAAGGUUAGAUACCCUGCAUUUUGUAAUUCAAGACUAAUGACUAAUGGCUCCUUCACUGUUACAAUCACUUUUAUUAUUAGCUUUUUCUGUCCUCGGGAGAUCUCUGCAUUCUUGGAGGGGAAUAGAUUUAUGAGAAGUACAGAAAUAUUCCACAGUCACGUUCCUGAAGGACGAGUUGGAAAAAGCAUCCUAGUUUAUCAAAGGCACUGAACAGAAUGAGAAUACAUUUCUAAGAAGCACAAAGAUUUUCCUUACUCAUGUAUCUCAAGGAUGAGUUUGAAGAAGCAUCCUAGUUUACAAAAUGCACUGAACAGAACCAUCUUGACCAUUGGCACAAGCCAUUGGGAAGUUAUAUCAAAAUGGAUCUGUAAUGUAGAGGAAUAAAUUAUAAUUAAAACUGAAUAACAGAUUGAUCUUUUAAACACUGAAAAUAAUGCAACACCUAGCCAGACAGCCCACUAUAUUAGGGGGGGAGAAGCAAUUAAUAUUCACUUUUUUUUAUUGGGAAGCUGCAAUUAAUUUUCAACAGCACAUCUGUAAAUGAAAGGAAAUAAAUCAGCCUUAAUAAAACAAGCCAAAGUUGGAAUGUUACUGAACAAUUUAACGACAACACAGUUGCACUUUAUCUCACCAUUUUAAACAUAUGUAACGUAGCAGCAAAUUAUAGAAAUCGACUGUGGAACCAGCUUGCAUUCUUGCAAGUAUUUCUCAGUGGUUUUGCUACUUUUAAAGUUUUACUGCACACAACAGUAUCAUUGUCAGCAAUUGUUUAGGCUAUCAUCUCACAAUUAUCAAUUUGGAAUGGAAAUUAAAGUGUAUUUGUCAGUGCAUAACUUCUCAAUGCCACUGACAAAUUAUAUUUCUUUCCAUUGUUGGAUCCAUCCAAUGAAUCAUUAUUCAUUCGCAAUAGGCCUACAUUUAGACAAUUAAAAUGGUAACAGAUGAUUUUUUUUUUUAAACAAGGCCCAAAAAUAAGAAAUGUUGUACAAAUUAGUCAGUGAUGGCUCUUAAAAAGAACAUGAAACAGCUGACCUGAUGACAAUGAAUGUGUACUACAGAGUUAGCUACUGUCAGAUUUACUUACUGUAUUCCCAUGUUUAA